RNAcentral lists this ribosomal RNA (102 nucleotides) under Hucho hucho (huchen). Lineage: Eukaryota; Metazoa; Chordata; Actinopteri; Salmoniformes; Salmonidae. The record is from RNAcentral.
GCCAGCAGCAUACCACCCUGCAUUCCACUGCUGGCUUGCUUCUGAAGCUAAGCAGGGUUGGUCCAGGUCAGACCCUGGAAGAGAGACCAGAUGCUGCUGGAA